Long non-coding RNA from Arabidopsis thaliana (thale cress), 269 nucleotides. RefSeq annotates it as other RNA. NCBI's taxonomy places the organism in Eukaryota, Viridiplantae, Streptophyta, Magnoliopsida, Brassicales, Brassicaceae. The record is from RefSeq. The transcript has a single exon.
GGGCGGUCUUGUACCACUUAACUAAGGAAAUUUCACCACCAGUGGAUCGUGAUUCCACCAAGUUGAUAUAAAUUGUUACAACUAUAAAUCUAUAAUCUAUGGAAACUGAAUGAGUUGCACACUGUCACACUGAGUCAAGAUAAUUAUGCUCUCUUUCUUCCCCCAUUCUAAAGCCAGUCAUAGAGAAAUGACAUCAACAGCAGCAAUAAGCACAUUGUUUCCCAGUAUGAUCAUUGAACACGUCUAGAGGCACAUAGACAGACAUUAAU